This is a long non-coding RNA of Rhagoletis pomonella (apple maggot), 707 nucleotides long. RefSeq lists it as uncharacterized. NCBI's taxonomy places the organism in Eukaryota, Metazoa, Arthropoda, Insecta, Diptera, Tephritidae. The record is from RefSeq and is a predicted model, not a curated record. The transcript is spliced from 3 exons.
AGUUAAAAAUAUUCACUUAUUCCUCUUAUGAUAAAAGCUGAGAAAUAUAUUUAUCGCGUAAAUUGUAGAUACGCCCAUAUUGUUUCUGGCUACCCUGUCGGAAAAAUAUUCGGAUAUUCCUUUUAUCAUAACAGCUAAGCAAUACAUUUAUUACGAGUAUUAUUUGUAUGAAACAUUUUUCCAUUAGAUAUACUGACAUAUUGCGUUUAUCUCAUGAAGUCUACAUAAAAUCGGCAACUUUAUAAUUUCAAAAAGUUAUUUUGUUGAUCGUAAUAACCAUUUUUACUACUAUAGGAUUCAAUUUAAUAUAAUUACGCUUAACAAUGCCUCGAAAAAGGUGUAUAGGAGUGUCAGCUGAUCGCAAAAAACGUAAUUGCCUUCCAAUAAACCAAGAUAUGCAACAACGGCAGAUCUAUUUGCAAUUUAGUAGUGUUUUGGUGCCAUCAUAUUUUCAGCAAUUGAGUGAAGAUGCCAUGUUUCCCUCAACUCAUGACACUCAUAUAUCAGUCAGUUUGUAAUAUGUUUUUAUGUAUGUACCUAAUAAGUAUAAGUUCUGAUGUACUAUAAAUCUCAUUAAUGCUUUGUAAUAUAUGUAUAAUAAAAAUAAGGGGUUUAUAAGAAUAAUUAUUUCCGCGAACUAUUAAAAUAGUCUGCUUCUAUCUGUGGCUACAAAGAGGGAUGAGUUUACUGUAUAUUUCUGUCUGCGC